Molecule: ribosomal RNA, 484 nt
Filed under: uncultured bacterium
Lineage: Bacteria
Description: partial 16S ribosomal RNA
Rfam family: Bacterial small subunit ribosomal RNA
Source: RNAcentral
AUUGAACGCUGGCGGCAUGCUUUACACAUGCGAGUCGAACGGCAGCGCGGGCUUCGGCCUGGCGGCGAGUGGCGAACGGGUGAGUAAUGCAUCGGAACGUGCCCAGUAGUGGGGGAUUGCCCGGCGAAAGCCGGAUUAAUACCGCAUACGACCUGAGGGUGAAAGCGGGGGACCGAAAGGCCUCGCGCUAUUGGAGCGGCCGACGUCGGAUUAGCUAGUUGGUGGGGUAAAGGCUUACCAAGGCGACGAUCCGUAGCUGGUCUGAGAGGACGACCCGCCACACUGGGACUGAGACACGGCCCAGACUCCUACGGGAGGCAGCAGUGGGGAAUUUUGGACAAUGGGGGCAACCCUGAUCCAGCCAUGCCGCGUGCGGGAAGAAGGCCUUCGGGUUGUAAACCGCUUUUGUUCGGGAAGAAAUCCUCUGGGCUAAUACCCCGGGGGGAUGACGGUACCGGAAGAAUAAGCACCGGCUAACUACGUG